GUGCUCUCUUCUGCAGCACGGAUAAUAAAACUGGAACAAUACAGACAGGAUUAGCGAGGCCCUGCGCAAGGACAACACGUGAAGGGAAAAGUGCUGCCAGUUCCAU
This 106-nucleotide small nuclear RNA is filed under the name Neogale vison (American mink). The record is from RNAcentral. Lineage: Eukaryota; Metazoa; Chordata; Mammalia; Carnivora; Mustelidae.